This 87-nucleotide transfer RNA is filed under the name Candidatus Desulfovibrio kirbyi. Its description in RNAcentral is "tRNA-Leu". It matches the Rfam family "tRNA". Rfam says of the family: Transfer RNA (tRNA) molecules are approximately 80 nucleotides in length. Their secondary structure includes four short double-helical elements and three loops (D, anti-codon, and T loops). Further hydrogen bonds mediate the characteristic L-shaped molecular structure. tRNAs have two regions of fundamental functional importance: the anti-codon, which is responsible for specific mRNA codon recognition, and the 3' end, to which the tRNAs corresponding amino acid is attached (by aminoacyl-tRNA synthetases). tRNAs cope with the degeneracy of the genetic code in two manners: having more than one tRNA (with a specific anti-codon) for a particular amino acid; and 'wobble' base-pairing, i.e. permitting non-standard base-pairing at the 3rd anti-codon position. Lineage: Bacteria; Pseudomonadati; Thermodesulfobacteriota; Desulfovibrionia; Desulfovibrionales; Desulfovibrionaceae. The record is from RNAcentral.
GCCGGAAUGGUGAAACUGGUAGACGCAGCGGACUCAAAAUCCGCCGGGGGCAACCCCUUGGGAGUUCGAUUCUCCCUUCCGGCACCA